CUGAGCGGCGGACGGGUGAGUAACGCGUGGGUAACCUGCCUCAUACAGGGGGAGAACAGUUGGAAACGGCUGCUAAUACCGCAUAAGCGCACAGUACCGCAUGGUACGGUGUGAAAAACUCCGGUGGUAUGAGAUGGACCCGCGUCUGAUUAGGUAGUUGGUGGGGUAACGGCCUACCAAGCCGACGAUCAGUAGCCGACCUGAGAGGGUGACCGGCCACAUUGGGACUGAGACACGGCCCAA
RNAcentral lists this ribosomal RNA (243 nucleotides) under uncultured bacterium. RNAcentral's name for it is "partial 16S ribosomal RNA". It matches the Rfam family "Bacterial small subunit ribosomal RNA", at positions 91 to 334 of the family's 1533-position model. The record is from RNAcentral.